GCCAAGGGCAUAUUGUACGCACUCAAGGAUAAAGGAAUAGAUGUUGCGAUAGCAUCUAGGUCACCAACUCCUGAUAUAGCAAAGGCAUUUCUUGAUAAAUUGGGUAUUCAGACCAUGUUUGUGGCCCAGGAAAUAUUCUCUAGUUGGUGCUACAAAAGGGAGCAUUUCCAGAGAAUUCAUAGGAGGACUGGUGUGCCGUAUAAGUCAAUGCUUUUCUUUGAUGACGAGGAUAGGAACAUUGAUGUAGUAUCUCAAAUGGGAGUGACAAGCAUU
RNAcentral lists this unclassified non-coding RNA (273 nucleotides) under Hevea brasiliensis (rubber tree). The record is from RNAcentral. Lineage: Eukaryota; Viridiplantae; Streptophyta; Magnoliopsida; Malpighiales; Euphorbiaceae.